UAAGGAAUAUUGGUCAAUGGACGCAAGUCUGAACCAGCCAUGCCGCGUGGAGGAUGAAGGUCCUCUGGAUUGUAAACUUCUUUUAUCUGGGACGAAACACUCCUAUUCUUAGGGGCCUGACGGUACCAGAUGAAUAAGCACCGGCUAACUCCGUGCCAGCAGCCGCGGUAAUACGGAGGGUGCAAGCGUUAUCCGGAUUCACUGGGUUUAAAGGGUGCGUAGGUGGGUAUGUAAGUCAGUGGUGAAAUCCCCGAGCUUAACUUGGGAACUGCAGUUGAUACUAUAUAUCUUGAAUGUCGUAGAGGUAAGCGGAAUAUGUCAUGUAGCGGUGAAAUGCUUAGAGAUGGCAUAGAACACCAAUUGCGAAGGCAGCUUGCUAUGCGAUUAUUGACACUGAGGCACGAAAGCGUGGGUAGCAAACA
Molecule: ribosomal RNA, 422 nt
Filed under: uncultured bacterium
Lineage: Bacteria
Description: bacterial SSU rRNA
Rfam family: Bacterial small subunit ribosomal RNA
Source: RNAcentral